AGGGCGCAGGGUGGAUGCCAUGGCACUGGACGCCGAAGAAAGACGUGGUAAGCUGCGAAAAGCCACGGGGAGCCGCAAGCAGGCUUUGAUCCGUGGAUGUCUGAAUGGGGAAACCCGGCGGGAGUUAUGUCCCGUCAUCCAUGAAUGAAUCCAUAGUUCAUGAGAAGGGCACCCGGGGAACUGAAACAUCUAAGUACCCGGAGGAAAAGAAAGAAACAUCGAUUUCGUCAGUAGCGGCGAGCGAAAGCGAAGGAGCCCAAACCAUCUGACUACGGUUGGAUGGGGUUGUGGGCCGGCAACGUGCAUGAUGAUGUCUAGGAGAAGAGCGUUGGAAAGCGCUUCCAGAGAGGGUAACAGGCCCGUAUCCGAAAGACUGAUUCAGCUAGCCGGUACCAGAGUACCACAGGACACGAGGAAUCCGGUGGGAAGCAGGGGGGACCACCCUCCAAGGCUAAAUACGAUCCAGUGACCGAUAGCGCAUAGUACCGUGAGGGAAAGGUGAAAAGAACCCCGGGAGGGGAGUGAAAAAGAACCUGAAACCCUGUGCUUACAAGCAGAGAGAGCACAAUUGAGUGUGAUCUCGUACUUUUUGUAGAACGGACCGGCGAGUUACGUUAUGCAGCGAGGUUAAGAACUGGAGGUUCGGAGCCGCAGCGAAAGCGAGUCUGAAGAGGGCGAUAGUUGCAUGACGUAGACCCGAAACCGGGUGACCUAUCCAUGGGCAGGUUGAAGUGGAAGUAAAAUUUCAUGGAGGACCGAACCAGACGUCUGUUGAAAAAGGCGGGGAUGACCUGUGGAUAGCGGAGAAAUUCCAAUCGAACCCGGAGAUAGCUGGUUCUCCUCGAAAUAGCUUUAGGGCUAGCCUCGCAUGAGUUUACCGGAGGUAGAGCACUGAAUGGUCUAGGGGGCCUCACCGCCUACCGAAACCUAUCAAACUGCGAAUGCCGGACAAAUGAUGUAUGGGAGUCAGGCCGCGAGAGAUAAGUUCCGCGGUCAAAAGGGGAACACCCCAGAUCGUCUGCUAAGGUCCCCAAGUGCGCGUUAAGUGGAAAAGGAUGUUGGAUUGCACAGACAACCAGGAUGUUGGCUUAGAAGCAGCCACACAUUCAAAGAGUGCGUAAUAGCUCACUGGUCGAGUGAUCCAGCGCCGAAAAUGUAACGGGGCUAAAACGCGACACCGAAGCAGCGGGAUGCGCAAGCAUCGGUAGAGGAGCAUUGUGUGAGGGCAGAAGCCAGAUCGGAAGGACUGGUGGACUUCACAGAAGAGAGAAUGCCGGUAUGAGUAGCGAGAGCCAUGCGAGAAACAUGGCCGUCGAAAGCCCAAGGUUUCCUGGGGAAGGUUCAUCCACCCAGGGUAAGUCGGGACCUAAGCCGAGGACUGAGGUCGUAGGCGAUGGACAGCAGGUAGAGAUUCCUGCACCACUUACGGUUGUUUGACGAUGCAGUGACACAGAAGGAUAGGAUGAGCGCGGUGAUGGUCAACCGCGUUGGGGACGAGAGCCCGAGAGGCAGUCAAGUACACCUCUCAUGAAGGGUCAGCGUUCACGGGACCGAAGAAUAGUAGGGAAGCAUCUGAUUUCACGCUGGCGAGAAAAGCUGCUAAGGAGAGCGUAAGUGCCCGUACCGGAAACCGACACAGGUGGGCGAGGAGAGAAUCCUGAGACGGACGGGAGAACUCUUGUUAAGGAACUCGGCAAAAUGACCCCGUAACUUCGGGAGAAGGGGUGCCUCGAAAGAGGCCGCAGAGAAUAGUCACAAGCGACUGUUUAGCAAAAACACAGGUAUCUGCGAAAGCGAGAGCUGACGUAUAGGUGCUGACGCCUGCCCGGUGCUGGAAGGUUAAGGGGAAGUGUUAGGGGAAACCCGAAGCAGAGAACCGAAGCCCCAGUAAACGGCGGCCGUAACUAUAACGGUCCUAAGGUAGCGAAAUUCCUUGUCGGGUAAGUUCCGACCCGCACGAAUGGCGUAACGACUUGUGAGCUGUCUCAACAGGAGGCCCGGUGAAAUUGAAGUAUGUGUGAAGAUGCACAUUACCCGCGACUGGACGGAAAGACCCCGUAGAGCUUUACUGUAACCUGACAUUGGAUCUUGAUAACGGAUGCACAGGAUAGGUGGGACGCUAAGAAGCGAGGACUUCGGUUUUCGUGGAGCGGCCGUUGGGAUACCACUCUUCUGUUAUUGAGAUUCUAACCUUCAGCCGUAAGCCGGCGAAGAGACAGUGUCAGGCGGACAGUUUGACUGGGGCGGUCGCCUCCGAAAGAGUAACGGAGGCGCCCAAAGGUACCCUCA
This 2289-nucleotide ribosomal RNA is filed under the name wastewater metagenome. Its description in RNAcentral is "bacterial LSU rRNA". It matches the Rfam family "Bacterial large subunit ribosomal RNA", at positions 14 to 2324 of the family's 2925-position model. The record is from RNAcentral.